RNAcentral lists this ribosomal RNA (252 nucleotides) under uncultured bacterium. RNAcentral describes it as "partial 16S ribosomal RNA". It matches the Rfam family "Bacterial small subunit ribosomal RNA", at positions 524 to 775 of the family's 1533-position model. The record is from RNAcentral.
UACAGAGGGUGCAAGCGUUAAUCGGAAUUACUGGGCGUAAAGCGCGCGUAGGUGGUUCGUUAAGUUGGAUGUGAAAUCCCCGGGCUCAACCUGGGAACUGCAUUCAAAACUGUCGAGCUAGAGUAUGGUAGAGGGUGGUGGAAUUUCCUGUGUAGCGGUGAAAUGCGUAGAUAUAGGAAGGAACACCAGUGGCGAAGGCGACCACCUGGACUGAUACUGACACUGAGGUGCGAAAGCGUGGGUAGCAAACAG